UACGGAGGAUGCGAGCGUUAUCCGGAUUUAUUGGGUUUAAAGGGUGCGUAGGCGGGCUUUUAAGUCAGCGGUAAAAAUUCGGGGCUCAACCCCGUCCGGCCGUUGAAACUGGGGGUCUUGAGUGGGCGAGAAGAAGGCGGAAUGCGUGGUGUAGCGGUGAAAUGCAUAGAUAUCACGCAGAACCCCGAUUGCUAAGGCAGCCUUCCGGCGCCCUACUGACGCUGAGGCACGAAAGUGCGGGGAUCGAACAGG
This 252-nucleotide ribosomal RNA is filed under the name uncultured bacterium. RNAcentral describes it as "partial 16S ribosomal RNA". It matches the Rfam family "Bacterial small subunit ribosomal RNA", at positions 524 to 776 of the family's 1533-position model. The record is from RNAcentral.